Molecule: ribosomal RNA, 229 nt
Filed under: uncultured bacterium
Lineage: Bacteria
Description: partial 16S ribosomal RNA
Rfam family: Bacterial small subunit ribosomal RNA
Source: RNAcentral
UGCGUAGGCGGAUCUGUAAGUCAGUGGUGAAAUCUCAUAGCUUAACUAUGAAACUGCCAUUGAUACUGCAGGUCUUGAGUAAGGUAGAAGUAGCUGGAAUAAGUAGUGUAGCGGUGAAAUGCAUAGAUAUUACUUAGAACACCAAUUGCGAAGGCAGGUUACUAUGUCUUAACUGACGCUGAUGGACGAAAGCGUGGGGAGCGAACAGGAUUAGAUACCCUGGUAGUCC